UGUUCUAUGGCCGAACUGGUAAAGGCAUUGCCGAUCAUGGCAAGGUUGCGAGUUCGAGUCCCGCUGGAACGG
This 72-nucleotide transfer RNA is filed under the name Operophtera brumata (winter moth). It matches the Rfam family "tRNA". Rfam says of the family: Transfer RNA (tRNA) molecules are approximately 80 nucleotides in length. Their secondary structure includes four short double-helical elements and three loops (D, anti-codon, and T loops). The record is from Rfam by way of RNAcentral. Lineage: Eukaryota; Metazoa; Arthropoda; Insecta; Lepidoptera; Geometridae.